GAUGAACGCUGGCGGCGUGCCUAAUACAUGCAAGUCGAGCGAACAGAUGAGGAGCUUGCUCCUCUGACGUUAGCGGCGGACGGGUGAGUAACACGUGGAUAACCUACCUAUAAGACUGGGAUAACUUCGGGAAACCGGAGCUAAUACCGGAUAAUAUAUUGAACCGCAUGGUUCAAUAGUGAAAGACGGUUUUGCUGUCUCUUAUAGAUGGAUCCGCGCCGCAUUAGCUAGUUGGUAAGGUAACGGGUUACCACGGCAACGAUGCGUAGCCGACCUGAGAGGGUGAUCGGCCACACUGGAACUGAGACACGGUCCAGACGCCUACGGGAGGCAGCAGUAGGGAAUCUGCCGCAAUGGGCGAAAGCUUGACGGAGCAACGCCGCGUGAGUGAUGAAGGUCUUCGGAUCGUAAAACUCUGUUAUUAGGGAAGAACAAAUGUGUAAGUAACUAUGCACGUCUUGACGGUACCUAAUCAGAAAGCCACGGCUAACUACGUG
This 497-nucleotide ribosomal RNA is filed under the name uncultured bacterium. RNAcentral's name for it is "partial 16S ribosomal RNA". It matches the Rfam family "Bacterial small subunit ribosomal RNA", at positions 28 to 507 of the family's 1533-position model. The record is from RNAcentral.